AAAGUGUGCGCGGGGAAAUUCUUUGUUGACGUCCAGGUUCGGCAUUAAGUAGCAGCACAACCAGACUGGGUUUACUGUUAGAAACAUCCACUAAAUUUGGUUUGUCUGCACAUAUUUGGGUAAUUAUGUCGAUUUCAAACGAGGCGGAUUUACCACCGAACUUGUCAUGUCUGAAAACUAUAGACACCUUGCUCCGAUGUCCAAUUUGCUUUGACUUCUUGAACAUAUCCAUGAUGACGCAGUGUUCUCAUAACUUUUGUUCCCUGUGUAUUCGAAAGUUUCUUUCCUACAAAUUAUUGUGUCCUGUUUGCAACACUCCAAUGACAGAACAGGAUCUGAGGAACAACCGGAUUUUAGAUGACAUUGUUCAGAGCUUCCAAACUGCACGGCAACAGUUGUCACAGGCGAAUUUUGACUCCCCUCCGAUUUCCCCCAAGACCCCCUCUGUGGCUUUGAAAGGCAAAGCAGCAAGACAGAAGUGCCCCAGGAAAGAGGGCACCCCUCUGACGCACUUUUUCCACAAACGGCCUCCUGCGACCCCCUCAUCAGGGGUACAGACAAACCCCAUUCUUUCCUGCCCAGUGAAAGAGGAGCCCAUGGAGGUGUGUGUGCAGGUCCUGGGAGAUCUAAAGCGGGAGAGCACUGAAGCUCAGAGUGCAAGGGUGAAGGAGGAAAAGAUGGAUGUGUCUGCUUUCCCCUCCACAUCACAGGUUGCUAAUCCAGUGGUCAAAGUGGAGUGUCCAGUAUGUGGAGUGGGUGUGUCUCAGCAGCACAUUAACAAACAUCUGGAUACUUGUCUGAUGAGAGGGGAGAAGAAGGAAGGCCUCAGAAGGUCUGACCAGCUAGGCUCUCCCAGUUCUGCAAUUGUAGUGCCCAACUCUGGAAAGCGCAGGCCAAUGGCUAAGGUGGUGUACACUUUGCUAACUAUGGCUGAGCUCAAGAGAAGGCUAAGAGAGUGCCACCUACCUACCCAGGGCUCCAGAGAUCAGCUCAUCAGACGACACCAGGAGUUCACCCAUAUCUACAAUGCUCAGUGUGACGCACUGAACCCCAGAUCAAGUGAGGACAUUGCUAAAGAGGUCGAAAACAAUGAGAAAAUAAAGAAUCAACUGGAUACUAAAAGUAAACCUGCAAUAGCCAUCACAAAGAACCAAACAGCUGAAGAAAUUGAACAGUUGCACGCAAACUACCGGAAACAACACAGCAGUGAGUUUUCCCGUCUCAUCACCCAAGUCAGAGGUCGUAUGGAGACGUCUAGAAGGACCCAGAUAAAGCAAGAAGAAGGGAAGUCAGUGGAGGCGUCGUGUUCAGAAGCUGCAACAGUCCUGAGCUCUGCUCAGACACCAGUUUCCACAGUGCUGAAAGUGGCCAAUCAUGAGAAGACUUCAGUUAUAGAAAUUACAUCAAGGUCACCAAGUCCCACCCUGAGUGAAGUGUCAGUCAGCAGUUGCAGACUGUAGAUUUCACUUUUACACCACUGUCUGACACAGUGAUGUCAGAACUGGCUCAAGAAACGGAGAAGAGAGGUCAGCGCUCUUCAAAAGGUGACAAAAGAAAGCAGCAAGCUGCCGUGAAACACAGCUCCAUUUCUGAUGUUUUCAACUGAGGACCUUGUAGAAGUGCUCAGAAGCCCUGGAGAACGGUCUAAGAGGCUAACGCACAGCCACAGGCUCCAGGGAGUAAUAGACACUGUACCUGCAGGUGAAAUGCACUCACUCAAAGCUGAGCUUGGUGGAAAGAACCAGUGUGACUCCUGGACUCAAUGUAAAAUGAAUGAUGAAGCUUUUAUACCUUUGUGUAAUGUCUGUAUUCAUUAUGAGUUUUGUACAUAGUGUAUUUUUAAAUAAAACUGUUCAGAUAAACUA
This is an RNA transcript of Pygocentrus nattereri (red-bellied piranha), 1865 nucleotides long. It is a transcript of the gene named RAD18 E3 ubiquitin protein ligase, with no coding region annotated. The transcript has 15 exons. NCBI's taxonomy places the organism in Eukaryota, Metazoa, Chordata, Actinopteri, Characiformes, Serrasalmidae. The record is from RefSeq and is a predicted model, not a curated record.